RNAcentral lists this ribosomal RNA (407 nucleotides) under uncultured bacterium. Its description in RNAcentral is "partial 16S ribosomal RNA". It matches the Rfam family "Bacterial small subunit ribosomal RNA", at positions 360 to 774 of the family's 1533-position model. The record is from RNAcentral.
AAUAUUGCGCAAUGGAGGGAACUCUGACGCAGCGACGCCGCGUGAACGAUGAAGGUCUUCGGAUCGUAAAGUUCUGUCCUCAGGGAAGAAGGUCUUCGGACUUGACGGUACCUGAGAAGAAAGCCCCGGCUAACUACGUGCCAGCAGCCGCGGUAAUACGUAGGGGGCAAGCGUUGUCCGGAAUUAUUGGGCGUAAAGGGUGCGUAGGCGGCCAUUUAAGUCAGAUGUGAAAGCCCACGGCUUAACCGUGGGAUUGCAUUUGAAACUGGGUGGCUUGAGUAUCGGAGAGGGUAGUGGAAUGCCCAGUGUAGCGGUGAAAUGCGUAGAUAUUGGGAGGAACAUCAGUGGCGAAGGCGACUACCUGGACGAUUACUGACGCUGAUGCACGAAAGCUAGGGGAGCAAACA